This 439-nucleotide ribosomal RNA is filed under the name uncultured bacterium. Its description in RNAcentral is "partial 16S ribosomal RNA". It matches the Rfam family "Bacterial small subunit ribosomal RNA", at positions 339 to 795 of the family's 1533-position model. The record is from RNAcentral.
CUACGGGCUGUUCCAGUGGGGAAUAUUGCACAAUGGAGGAAACUCUGAUGCAGCAACGCCGCGUGGAGGAUGACACUUUUCGGAGCGUAAACUCCUUUUAUAUAGGAAGAAGAUGACGGUACUAUAUGAAUAAGCGCCGGCUAACUCCGUGCCAGCAGCCGCGGUAAUACGGAGGGCGCAAGCGUUACUCGGAAUCACUGGGCGUAAAGAGCGUGUAGGCGGAUUAAAAAGUCAGAAGUGAAAUCCUAUAGCUUAACUAUAGAACUGCUUCUGAAACUCUUAAUCUAGAAUAUGGGAGAGGUAGAUGGAAUUUCUGGUGUAGGGGUAAAAUCCGUAGAGAUCAGAAGGAAUACCGAUUGCGAAGGCGAUCUACUAGAACAUUAUUGACGCUGAGACGCGAAAGCGUGGGGAGCAAACAGGAUUAGAUACCCCAGUAGUC